UCUGGCUGAUCCCGCCCGGCCGGAGAUCCGCUGACAUGGGCGGCACCGGCGUCAUCGACCAUUUCCUCGAGGUCUUCACGCGCUACAUCGACGGCGGCUUUGGCCUGCUCGGUGGCGAGGUCGGCUUUAUCGCCACCACCUUGAUCGUCAUCGACGUGACGCUUGCCGCGCUCUUCUGGUCGUGGGGCGCCGACGACGACAUCAUGGCGCGCCUCGUCAAGAAGACGCUGUUCGUCGGCGUCUUUGCCUACCUCAUCUCCAACUGGAACAAUCUCGCUCGCAUCAUCUUCGAGAGCUUCGCGGGUCUCGGCCUGAAAGCCUCGGGCACGAGCUUUGCCGUCAGUGACCUUUUGCGCCCCGGCAAGGUGGCACAGACCGGACUCGAUGCGGGACACC
Molecule: unclassified non-coding RNA, 396 nt
Filed under: Hevea brasiliensis (rubber tree)
Lineage: Eukaryota; Viridiplantae; Streptophyta; Magnoliopsida; Malpighiales; Euphorbiaceae
Source: RNAcentral